GACGAACGCUGGCGGCGUGCCUAAUACAUGCAAGUUGAGCGAUGAAGAUUGGUGCUUGCACCAAUUUGAAGAGCAGCGAACGGGUGAGUAACGCGUGGGGAAUCUGCCUUUGAGCGGGGGACAACAUUUGGAAACGAAUGCUAAUACCGCAUAAUAACUUUAAACGUAAGUUUUAAGUUUGAAAGAUGCAAUUGCAUCACUCAAAGAUGAUCCCGCGUUGUAUUAGCUAGUUGGUGAGGUAAAGGCUCACCAAGGCGAUGAUACAUAGCCGACCUGAGAGGGUGAUCGGCCACAUUGGGACUGAGACACGGCCCAAACUCCUACGGGAGGCAGCAGUAGGGAAUCUUCGGCAAUGGACGAAAGUCUGACCGAGCAACGCCGCGUGAGUGAAGAAGGUUUUCGGAUCGUAAAACUCUGUUGGUAGAGAAGAACGUUGGUGAGAGUGGAAAGCUCAUCAAGUGACGGUAACUACCCAGAAAGGGACGGCUAACUACGUG
RNAcentral lists this ribosomal RNA (497 nucleotides) under uncultured bacterium. RNAcentral's name for it is "partial 16S ribosomal RNA". It matches the Rfam family "Bacterial small subunit ribosomal RNA", at positions 28 to 507 of the family's 1533-position model. The record is from RNAcentral.